RNAcentral lists this long non-coding RNA (288 nucleotides) under Bos taurus (domestic cattle). RNAcentral describes it as "long non-coding RNA NONBTAT013893". Lineage: Eukaryota; Metazoa; Chordata; Mammalia; Artiodactyla; Bovidae. The record is from RNAcentral.
CACGGCCCUGCAAACGCCUAUUACUCCAAAGUGAGGUGGGUUAGGAGAACAGGUAAAGCCCGGGAGGUAUGGGCCAUAGGGUGCUGUGUGGGUAGGGUGUCACACUAAAUUUGGCAUCAACGUGGUGACCUCCUGGCAGCAGAGGACUACCAGGUUGCCUAAGGAGGGUUGGAUCAGCCCUGGUCAGAAAUGGAGCAGAUCAAAACUCCCAUGCUGCUAGGCAGAGGAAAAAAAACAAACAAGCACACAGAGAUUCCUAGGUUCAGGGAGCCUUGGAGAAGCUCCAAG